GUGCUCGCUAUGGCGCAUAUACUAAAAUUAGAACAAUACAGAGAAGAAUAGCAUGGCCCCUUGCGCAAGAACCCUCAUGUUACGGGACAUGACAAUAUUCCCAGUUUCU
This 109-nucleotide small nuclear RNA is filed under the name Mustela putorius furo (domestic ferret). The record is from RNAcentral. Lineage: Eukaryota; Metazoa; Chordata; Mammalia; Carnivora; Mustelidae.